Molecule: ribosomal RNA, 253 nt
Filed under: uncultured bacterium
Lineage: Bacteria
Description: partial 16S ribosomal RNA
Rfam family: Bacterial small subunit ribosomal RNA
Source: RNAcentral
CGAAGGGGCGUAGCGUUGCUCGGAAUUACUGGGCGUAAAGGGCGCGUAGGCGGACAUUUAAGUCAGGGGUGAAAUCCCAGAGCUCAACUCUGGAACUGCCUUUGAUACUGGGUGUCUUGAGUGUGAGAGAGGUAUGUGGAACUCCGAGUGUAGAGGUGAAAUUCGUAGAUAUUCGGAAGAACACCAGUGGCGAAGGCGACAUACUGGCUCAUUACUGACGCUGAGGCGCGAAAGCGUGGGAGCAAACAGGAUU